UUCAGAAUAAAAAGAUUUAUCCACAUGUUUUAAAAUAAUUAUAAAGCCACUGAAAGCCACUAAAAUGCUACAAAUUUAUUAGUUAAUAAUGUAUAGGCGUCGAUAUCUUUAGUGAAGAAAUGUGUAUUACAAGAAAAGGCCGCCAUUUGAUGUGUUUUCUAACAUCGUCGAUAUUCAAUACACGUUAGUAUAACCUAUUGCUACAUAAAACUUCAUUGUAGAACAAGACAAGACCACAAUAGAUCUGGGAAGGUCGCAGUGGGUCAGGCUGAGAUCCACCUCUAGAAAUCUAAUCUAGAACAAGACAAAGACCUUACUUGCAAACUACCAUACAUAUCUUUUAAAAAGGAUGCUAAGUGUAGUUAAGAAGUUUAGAUAAAUCUACAAUAUAUUAUCAUCAGACCAAAGGCAGGAUAAUUAUUUAA
This 425-nucleotide long non-coding RNA is filed under the name Sitophilus oryzae (rice weevil). RNAcentral's name for it is "uncharacterized LOC115883171, transcript variant X2". The record is from RNAcentral. Lineage: Eukaryota; Metazoa; Arthropoda; Insecta; Coleoptera; Curculionidae.